GAACAUUGAAGCGGCAGGCGCUCCAUCAUGCGUUUACCGUGGAGUUCCGAAGGGUUGUGCGUAUUCCUCAAGGUGGAUAGGCGAGAACCGAAAGAAAACGCAACGC
Molecule: non-coding RNA, 106 nt
Submitted as: unclassified sequences
Source: Rfam